AAGAAUAGAGAGAUAUAUUGGAGUAACUAAUAAAGUUAGUUACUGAUAGUUAGAUGGUUAAUGGAAGUUGUUAUUGUAUUGAAACUAGUAUAAAUAGAACUGUAAUGAUACAAUGAAAGUAAUUCAAUCAAGGGUGAAGGUAGUACGUACCAUCACUCCACGUUUUGUAAUCUCGAGUUCUUAUUCCGUUCAAUAAGAUGUCAGUGAGAGAGAGUGAGUGAGAUAUUUUUAGGCGAGAGUGAUAUAAGAAUAUAACUAGAAUACAGGGCAAAUAAGCAAUUUACCAUAAGAAACAAGCUUAAGACGUAAAGAAAUAUAAAUAACCCAAAGGUUAUGACAAAACAGAAUAAACUGUUUUGUUAUAAACUAACAGGGGUUCUUUUAUAAAUGUUUCAAUAAACGUUAUUUGAACCUAAGCGUAAUUAAAAAAAACUAAAGGUUUUCGUAAUAUAACUGAGAUCUAUAAAUACAAGGAUCAAAUUGUAAAAAU
This 490-nucleotide long non-coding RNA is filed under the name Zostera marina. Its description in RNAcentral is "long non-coding RNA (ZMAR_LNC000520)". Lineage: Eukaryota; Viridiplantae; Streptophyta; Magnoliopsida; Alismatales; Zosteraceae. The record is from RNAcentral.